UUCUAUAUUUCUAUUAUCCUUUGCUUUUUAUUUGGCCCUGAUUUUACAUGUAAAGCACCUGGUUUUGCUAACUAAUAACUUGGCUUUGAGUAAAAGAAGUGAUUUAUUGUGGAUUCUAUAUUCCUAUUAUCUUUUGCUUUUUAUUUGGCCCUGAUUUUACAUGUAAAGCACCUUAUUUCCCUAUGUAACAUGUUACUCUGGCUUGCCAUGACAAGUUUGAUCUGUAUGAGUUGAAUCACAUUUGUUUCUCUUCAUUGUUAGAUAUAUGGUAUGGGGUUAUCUAUUAUUACAAUAAAAU
RNAcentral lists this long non-coding RNA (298 nucleotides) under Daucus carota (carrot). Its description in RNAcentral is "long non-coding RNA (DCAR_LNC006381)". Lineage: Eukaryota; Viridiplantae; Streptophyta; Magnoliopsida; Apiales; Apiaceae. The record is from RNAcentral.